RNAcentral lists this long non-coding RNA (301 nucleotides) under Homo sapiens (human). RNAcentral describes it as "long non-coding RNA NONHSAT134478.2". The record is from RNAcentral. Lineage: Eukaryota; Metazoa; Chordata; Mammalia; Primates; Hominidae.
CAUUCUGCAAAAGUUUGUAGAUCUUCUGCAAGGAGAACGGCAUUGUUAACUACCUACAGGAAGUGUCUCAGAUUAACAGACGUGUGUAGGAUUUCAGUCCCAUUUGAAUACACCCGAUGGAUGUACGACCUUGAGAAAUUUACUUAACACUUCCAGGUCAGCCCGGCGUGGUGGCUUAUGCCUGUAUUUCCAGCACUUGGGGAGGCCAAGCCGGGUGGAUCACGAGGUCAGGAGUCCGAGACCAGCCUGGCCAACAUGGUGAAAACCUGUCUCUACUAAAGAUACAAAAAUUAUCUGGGUG